UAAACUAGGAUUAGAUACCCUAUUAUUUUAAAUGUAAAUUAUAAAUACUAAAGAAGUAUUAGUUAAGUUCUUUAAAUUUAAAGAUUUUGGCGGUAUUUUAGUCUAUUCAGAGGAACCUGUUCUGUGAUUGAUAAUCCACGAUUAAUUUUACUUGAUUUAAAUGUUUGUAUAUCGUCGUUUUUAAUAAUUUUGUAAAAAUUUAAAUUUUUAAGAUUUUAUAUUAAAAAAUAAAUCAGAUCAAGGUGCAGUUUAUGAUUAAGGAGAAAUGGGUUACAAUAAAUAUAUUUAUUAUGGAUUUUUAUAUGAAAAUUUAUUUUGAAGGAGGAUUUGAUAGUAAGAAAAUUAAAUUAAAUUUUUUGAUUUUAGCUCUAAAAUAUGUACAUAUCGCCCGUCGCUCUUAUUAUAAGAUAAGAUAAGUCGUAACAAAGUAGAUGUACUGGAAAGUGUAUCUAGAAUGAUCAAAUUAGAGCUUGAAUAGUAAAGCAUUUUAUUUACAUUAAAAAGUUAUCGUGCGAGUCGAUUUAGUGAAGUAAAAAAAUUAUUAAUUUUAUUUUUAUUUUAUUGUUAAUAAAAAUAAUUUUAUUAAAUUUAAUUUUUAGUAUAUUUUAUAGAAAAAAAUUUUUUUAUUAUAGUUUAUUAGUAUUGUAAAAGAAAUUUAAUUGAUUUGUUAAAUUGUUUAAAAGUAAGAUUUAUUUUUUGUACCUUGUGUGUCAGGGUUUAUUAAAUAAUAAUUAUAUAUUUUAAUUUUCCCGAGUUAAAGAGAGUUAAUAAGAUAUUUUUUUUAUUAUAGCAAUAUUAUUUAUAAUAUUUUAUUAGUAAUGAAACGUUAUUCGUUCUUUAAUAUAUCUGGUUUAUUUAGAAAUAAAUUUAAUUUAUCUUAUUUAAUUUAAAUUAUUUAUUUUUUUAAAUAUUUUAAUUUUAUUAGAAAUAAUUAAAGGGAUUAGCUUUUAAUUAAAUUUUUAUAAAUAAUAUAAAAGUUAUAAAAAAUGUAAGUUUAGAAAUAUCUACCAUAUUUAAUUUGUUAUAAUUAAUUUAUUUAAAGAUAAAAUUUUAUAUUAUUUUAAUUUUUUAUAAAUAAAUAAUUUAUAAUUAAUAAUAUUUAGUUAUAAUGAUAAAAUUAGUAUAAAAUUUUAUUUAAAUAAUAUUUUUUAAAAGGUUAUUUAAAGGAAUUCGGCAAAAAUUUUACUCGCCUGUUUAACAAAAACAUGUCCUUUUGAUGUUUAUUUAAGGUUUGACCUGCCCACUGAUUAUUUAAAUGGCCGCAGUAAUUUGACUGUGCAAAGGUAGCAUAAUCAUUAGUUUUUUAAUUAAAAGCUUGUAUGAAAGGUUGGACGAGGUAAAAUCUGUCUUUAUUUAAUUUAUUUUAUAAUUUAAUUUUUAAGUUAAAAAGCUUAAAUUUUAAUAAAAGACGAGAAGACCCUAUAGAUCUUUAUAUUAUUAUAAAUAAUUUUAAUUAGGAAUAUUUUAUUUUUUAUUUGUAUUAGUAUUUUAUUGGGGUAAUAAAGAGAUUAAAAAAAUUCUUUUUUUUAUAAAAUAUUAAUUGAUAAUUUUAUGAUCCAAUAAUUUUGAUUAAAAGAUUAAGUUACCUUAGGGAUAACAGCGUAAUUUUUUUAGAGAGUUCAUAUCGAUAAAAAAGUUUGCGACCUCGAUGUUGGAUUAAAAAUUGUUCUAGGUGCAGAAGUUUAGAAAUUUGGUCUGUUCGACCAUUAAAUUUUUACAUGAUCUGAGUUCAAAACCGGAGAU
RNAcentral lists this ribosomal RNA (1743 nucleotides) under Copelatus sp. NLG-2014. Its description in RNAcentral is "partial 16S ribosomal RNA". The record is from RNAcentral. Lineage: Eukaryota; Metazoa; Arthropoda; Insecta; Coleoptera; Dytiscidae.